UGGGGAAUUUUGGACAAUGGGCGAAAGCCUGAUCCAGCAAUGCCGCGUGUGUGAAGAAGGCCUUCGGGUUGUAAAGCACUUUUGUCCGGAAAGAAAUCCUUGGCUCUAAUACAGUCGGGGGAUGACGGUACCGGAAGAAUAAGCACCGGCUAACUACGUGCCAGCAGCCGCGGUAAUACGUAGGGUGCAAGCGUUAAUCGGAAUUACUGGGCGUAAAGCGUGCGCAGGCGGUUUGCUAAGACCGAUGUGAAAUCCCCGGGCUCAACCUGGGAACUGCAUUGGUGACUGGCAGGCUAGAGUAUGGCAGAGGGGGGUAGAAUUCCACGUGUAGCAGUGAAAUGCGUAGAGAUGUGGAGGAAUACCGAUGGCGAAGGCAGCCCCCUGGGGCCAAUACUGACGCUCAUGCACGAAAGCGUGGGGAGCAAACAGGAUUAGAUACCCUGGUAGUCCACGCCCUAAACGAUGUCAACUAGUUGUUGGGGAUUCAUUUCCUUAGUAACGUAGCUAACGCGUGAAGUUGACCGCCUGGGGAGUACGGUCGCAAGAUUAAAACUCAAAUGAAUUGACGGGGUCAUAGCUGUUUCCU
This 586-nucleotide ribosomal RNA is filed under the name uncultured bacterium. RNAcentral describes it as "partial 16S ribosomal RNA". It matches the Rfam family "Bacterial small subunit ribosomal RNA", at positions 355 to 1375 of the family's 1533-position model. The record is from RNAcentral.